CAGUAGCCGCGGGAAUACAGAGGGUGCGAGCGUUAAUCGGAUUUACUGGGCGUAAAGCGUGCGUAGGCGGCUUCUUAAGUCGGAUGUGAAAUCCCUUAGCUUAACUUAGGAAUUGCAUUCGAUACUGGGAAGCUAGAGUAUGGGAGAGGAUGGUAGAAUUCCAGGUGUAGCGGUGAAAUGCGUAGAGAUCUGGAGGAAUACCGAUGGCGAAGGCAGCCAUCUGGCCUAAUACUGACGCUGAGGUACGAAAGCAUGGGGAGCAAACAGGAUUAGAUACCCCAGUAGUCCCUGUCUCUUAUAC
Molecule: ribosomal RNA, 301 nt
Filed under: uncultured bacterium
Lineage: Bacteria
Description: partial 16S ribosomal RNA
Rfam family: Bacterial small subunit ribosomal RNA
Source: RNAcentral